Molecule: ribosomal RNA, 526 nt
Filed under: Lacticaseibacillus rhamnosus
Lineage: Bacteria; Bacillati; Bacillota; Bacilli; Lactobacillales; Lactobacillaceae
Description: bacterial SSU rRNA
Rfam family: Bacterial small subunit ribosomal RNA
Source: RNAcentral
AGCUGGCGCGUGCCUAUACAUGCAAGUCGAACGAGUUCUGAUUAUUGAAGGGUGCUUGCAUCUUGAUUUAAUUUUGAACGAGUGGCGGACGGGUGAGUAACACGUGGGUAACCUGCCCUUAAGUGGGGGAUAACAUUUGGAAACAGAUGCUAAUACCGCAUAAAUCCAAGAACCGCAUGGUUCUUGGCUGAAAGAUGGCGUAAGCUAUCGCUUUUGGAUGGACCCGCGGCGUAUUAGCUAGUUGGUGAGGUAACGGCUCACCAAGGCAAUGAUACGUAGCCGAACUGAGAGGUUGAUCGGCCACAUUGGGACUGAGACACGGCCCAAACUCCUACGGGAGGCAGCAGUAGGGAAUCUUCCACAAUGGACGCAAGUCUGAUGGAGCAACGCCGCGUGAGUGAAGAAGGCUUUCGGGUCGUAAAACUCUGUUGUUGGAGAAGAAUGGUCGGCAGAGUAACUGUUGUCGGCGUGACGGUAUCCAACCAGAAAGCCACGGCUAACUACGUGCCAGCAGCCGCGUAAAUAA